CUUUUCUUCCCUUGGACACACACCUGAACAACAGGAGCAGGCCCAGGACGACAGAUUUGAACUGCGGAUGGUUUUUUCGUGCAUUUGAUGAGAAAAUUCAUGGAUGCGAAGCCACGGGCAACAUGUUGAAGGCAGAAGAGAGAUGUCAUCAGCAGUGCCUUGGAGAGUCUGGAGAGGAUCUCAAUAAAGACCACCAGGAUGUCAGCAAAGAAACCAUCUAAAAGGACUCUGCUCAUCGUGUCUCAAAAAUCUUUGUCGUGGAAAUGCAGCACAGGAAAGGCCACACCACUGCCCAUGUGUCGAGCAUCAUCGAGGGAAAAGAGGUUUUUGAUGACUGUAGUGUGGCAAGGGCUUACCUUCUGCUCAUUGGCUUUGUCCAUGCAGUGAACUUUAGUUACCCACCAAAGUUGAAAUAGGCAUUUGUGAAGUUUUUCAGAAGCUCUUUCUUGAGCUUGAUGUCCUGAAGAUGUCUCCUAAAGUCCAGUCUUUGCACAACAAACUUCUAGCAUAAAUAUUUCCAUGCAAGUUUCUCAACCAACUUCAUUGUGUUUAACUAUUUGAAAAUGUUUUAGUCAGACUAAGUCUUUUAAUGAAAGUUGUUCAAUUCUAUUUAGCAGUACUGUGGGCAGCACUGAUUUAUGAUGUACACUAAUCAAUUUUAUUUUAAAUGUUUAAAUGCCAUCCAGACUGUAUAUGUUGAACUGUAAGCAACUACCUCUUGCACCAGUGUUAGAGAAAAAAUUAUAAAGGUGCUGUUGUUUAAAAAGAAUCUGUUAUUUCAUGUUUUGUAGAAGCCUUAUAAUAAGCAAUAAACAAUCUCAUUGUCUAAAAAGUAGCUCCAGUUAUAAAUGCAAGAAAAUCCAUAUUAUAAUACUGCUGUAGAGUAGGGUUGUCAUGGUACUAGAAUUUUAAACUCGAUACCCAGGAAAUUAUUCAAUACUUUAUACCAUUUUCGAUACCACAAGGAGAAUAAAUGACCCUAACCCUUUUUUUUUUUUUUUUUUUAAAUAAAGAUUA
Molecule: long non-coding RNA, 1017 nt
Organism: Seriola aureovittata
Lineage: Eukaryota; Metazoa; Chordata; Actinopteri; Carangiformes; Carangidae
Exons: 3
Source: RefSeq, a predicted model, not a curated record